CCCUUAGAUGUUCUGGGCCGCACGCGCGCUACACUGACGAAUGCAACGAGCUUAUAACCUUGGCCGAAAGGUCUGGGUAAUCUCCAAAUUUCGUCGUGAUGGGGAUAGAUUAUUGCAAUUACUAAUCUUCAACGAGGAAUGCCUAGUAAGCGCAAGUCAUCAGCUUGCGUUGAUUACGUCCCUGCCCUUUGUACACACCGCCCGUCGCUCCUACCGAUUGAAUGGUCCGGUGAAGCGCUCGGACCGCGGCCUCUUGACGGUUCGCUGUCGAUUGGCUGUGGGAAGUUCGUUAAACCUUAUCAUUUAGAGGAAGGAGAAGUCGUAACA
This 327-nucleotide ribosomal RNA is filed under the name uncultured eukaryote. RNAcentral describes it as "partial 18S ribosomal RNA". It matches the Rfam family "Eukaryotic small subunit ribosomal RNA", at positions 1470 to 1796 of the family's 1831-position model. The record is from RNAcentral.